RNAcentral lists this unclassified non-coding RNA (146 nucleotides) under uncultured Ascomycota. RNAcentral's name for it is "sequence contains ITS2". The record is from RNAcentral. Lineage: Eukaryota; Fungi; Ascomycota.
CACCCCUCAAGCCCCGGCUUGGUCAUGGGCGUCGCGGCCGUGCCGCGCGCCUCAAAGUGCCGCCGGCCGAGCGUACCGCCCCGGAGCGUCGUGAUUGCAUCUCGCUCUUGGGGGUCGGGCGCCGACCGUGCCACCAAAACACAUCA